GAGCAACACAAGAAGUUAAUAGAGGGCUAUCGCGGUGGGGAGAGGGAGAGAGUGCGCGCCUUUUCUAUGCGUGGAAUUUCGUUAAUGCUCUUCAAUCUCUAUGUUUCUGGUUCUAAUGGUUGAUUAAUUGGAAGCUGUAACGGUUUCAAAUGGAGAUCGUUGCAGGUUGUUGAUUUUGUUGUUCGGAUUCUAAGGAUCGGAUCAGUUGUGUUUCCGGGGAUUUCUAUUGUCAAAUAGAUUUAGAGCAGAAUGAACGAUGCCGGCAGUGCGGAGGCUGCUGCGGUAGCUUCGGUUGGGGCGCCGCAGCCGUUGGAGUGGAAAUUUGCUCAGGUGUUUGGGGAACGUGCGGCCGGUGAAGAAGUCCAGGAAGUUGAUAUCAUAUCUGCUAUUGAAUUUGAUAGAACUGGCAAUCACCUUGCUACUGGAGAUCGUGGUGGUCGGGUGGUUUUAUUUGAAAGAACUGACACAAGAGUUAAUGAUGGAAAUCGGAGAGAUCUAGAGAGGAUGGAUUUUUCAAUCAAUGGGCAUCCUGAGUUCCGGUACAAAACAGAGUUUCAGAGUCAUGAACCUGAGUUUGAUUAUCUAAGGAGCUUGGAAAUUGAGGAGAAA
Molecule: unclassified non-coding RNA, 609 nt
Filed under: Hevea brasiliensis (rubber tree)
Lineage: Eukaryota; Viridiplantae; Streptophyta; Magnoliopsida; Malpighiales; Euphorbiaceae
Source: RNAcentral